GGCAAUGGGCUAAAAUGAACCUGGUUCAGUAACAGAGUGGUUAUUUCCAAGAAAUCAUUACGUCUGCCACAUAAGGUGACUCUGAGAGGGCUUCUGGAUGGCUCUUGGAUAGGGGCUGGUGACCAGAAUGACCAAGCCGCAGUCAGAAGUUUGGAAUUUUCAACUCCACGUCUCAUUUUCCAGAGAAGGUAGAGGGGCUGGAAAUGGACUUAAUAAUUGAUCAUGCCUACAUGAGGAAGCCUCCAUAAAAUCACGACAGUAUGGGGUUUGGGGAGCAUCUGGUUUGGGGAACACAUCCGCAUACAAGGAGAGUGAUGCACUCCAACUCCAUGGGGAAAAAAUUCCUACGCUCUGGACCCUCCAAACUUCGCUCUAUAUCCCUUCAUCUGGCUGUUCAUCUGUAUCUUUCGUCACAUCCUUUAAUAAACUGGUAAACCUAGCCCUCCAGUACAUAGUCGUAUAUUCUCCGUUAUGGGUCCUUCUAGUUGUGGCAUGUGGGAUGCUGCCCCAGCGUGGUUUGACGAGCAGUGCCAUGUCCGCGCCCAGGAUUCGAACCAACGAAACACUGGGCUGCCUGCAGCGGAGCACGCGAACUUAACCACUCGGCCACGGGCCCAGCCCCGAAUACUCAUAUAUUUUUAAAUUCUGUUCUGUUUAGUCAAUUGGCAUUAAAUAGUGUUUGAAUUGUGUCCUGAAAUAUAAUAAUUAAAAGAUCUAAUAAAAAGAACUGCCACUGAAAAGACAGACGUACACAAGAGAACACUAUGUGAAGAUCCGAGUUAUGCUGCCGGUAGCUGGGAGAGUCCUGAACAGAUCUCUCCCUAGGACCUUCCGAGAGAACAUGGUCCCAGCACCCUAUUUUUGAACUUCUGACCUCUAGAACUAUGAGACAAUAAAUUUCUGUUAUUCAAAGCCACCCAGUUUGUGGUAUUCUGUCAUGGCAGCUUUAGAAAACUAAUAUAAUUAGAUUUACUAUUUUGUGUUACACUGAGAAGACACAAAGAUAACGAGUACAUGAUCCCAAAUUAACCAGUAAACAGCUAAUACAAUGAAGUUUGCUAAAUAUAAGGAAAGAUGUUUGUCAUAGGUGAGGUUCUCUGAUAAGCACACCGUAAGCUACAGAUCUGAGUGCAUGUGACUUGUUUACGGAGGCCCCAGAAAGAGUGUGAAAGAAGCAGGAUAGAAAAGCAGAUAAGUUUAGCAAGAGUGAGGUUUAAGUUGAAGUCUCAGACACAAGCUAAUCCCA
This 1246-nucleotide long non-coding RNA is filed under the name Equus caballus (horse). RNAcentral's name for it is "lncRNA (ENSECAG00000045203.1)". Lineage: Eukaryota; Metazoa; Chordata; Mammalia; Perissodactyla; Equidae. The record is from RNAcentral.